GGCCUGUAAAUGUGAAGUGAAUCAUUUCAGUUGUUGAUCAGUAAUGCUGGAAGGUAGUCUUGAUAUAAACUGAGAUUUUUGGAAGAGAUGAGGUACUUCACUUGUCCACACCAGAGACCAAUCAACACAUAAGUUUAAACGCUGAUGCUCGAGUAGCUCCGAGUUAAUUUGUCAUUUUUCUCUCUUACUACACAAACAGGAAGUCUUGACAAAACCAUAUCACUGCCACGGCCAAAUCUGACCGGUUCAAACUUCUUCACCCCUGAGCUGAAGGUGUGAGGGUUUUUAGGGGUGUAACACAAAUGACGAGACUUGCGACUCUGUCACCGAGUGAGGAGAAUGUGUGUUGAUCAUUGGCAAGAGAAACCGACGGCGGCUCCGAGCCACAUGGCCAAAGACUGUGAGCCCACUGUUGGCAGCCUCAGAGGAGAUGGCUACCUUCCAGUCAACACUCGGGCUGGGCAGCUCAGAAACCCUGCUGCAAUAUGAAUUAAAAGAUGUGAAUUUGAAUUUGGGAAACUGAUCUUGAAAUUGCACAUCAAAGUUGAAAUUCAUAAAGAGACCAGUAAAUUUCAUGACGCUCUAUUUAGUUUAAUGUAAAACCAUAAAAAUUCACGGUGUGGAGCACUUAACAAAUCAAGUGAUUAAUGGUCCUAAUUCAGUGGUUCAGUGGUGCGAUGCAAAUUUAAAUGAACAAAUUCAAACACAAUUUCUCUCAGACCAAUCAUCUUUCAGACAUCUGAACCACUUAGUUCACAUGCACAUUUCUGAUCAACACAUUUGAACACAAAAAAAGGCCUUCAAGUAAAUCCACCCACCUCUACUUAACAAGGCUACAGCCAUGUUAUAAACCACAGCUGUCCAUUAAAAUUCAUUCAGAUUCUCAGUGGAGUUUACAAUGCUCAGAUAUUCAUGUGGAAGAACAAAGAAAAAAAAAAAGGUCCAGUCAUGUUUGUUCAAAUCUGGAAGCUGUUGCUCUUGUACUUCCUAAAUAUUUCAAUUUUCCAUUGGGGAAACUCCCCCUGUCUCGCUGUCACUGGGGAAUAUAUAGUACAUAGUGAUUUAUUCUUGUCUGGGGUCAGAUGCUAAAGACUGAACAAACUUCCUGGUUUGUGAGUGAAUCAGAAAAAAAACAGCUCUCCCAAACCCAAUUCCCCCAAAAACCCUCUGAUAACCAAAAUGUUACUUUUUACAGUGUGUGAAUUACAUAUAAUGAGGAUUAUACUGAUGUAAAAGUCUAUUCUGCGCGUAUGUAAACAUUUAUUUGUGUGUGUCUGUGUGUGACACCAGCCAAAGCACUAAUGGCUUUGUGUAUGAGAUAGGCCAGACUGUACUGCUCUGACAGUGAAAAGAGGAUAACAGGGAGAUGAGGAGCAGAGAAAGAGAAAGAGAGAGAGAGAGAUAAAGAGAGGAGGAGACAGAAAAGGAGAGAGGGAGGGAGAGGGUGAGAGAGCCACUCAGAUACUCAUUAGCCACCAGACGCUAUCUGGAGUGUGUCAAUAGACUCAUGUUAGUGGGGUGUUAAAGCAUUGACCAAGAUACGCUGAGAGAGGCAGAGAAAGACGGAGAGGUGGGGGCAGAAAAGGGAAGGAUGGCGAACGCUCCCCCACCAUCGCAGCACCUGUCACACCUUGAGAUAAUCAUCCAUCAUACCCCGCCACUGACUGGAGAGUGUGUGGUCCUUUUUAAUGGCCCCCAUUGACACGAUUCGUCUUCUCCGCCACCCACAGCCUGUCACCAAAUUGCUACUCUUGCAGCGGGGAAACAUUUUAUUGCACCUGUGAAAAAGAUGAGAUGUGUGCAUUCUUGCCUUUGAGAAGUUUUUGCCUCGUGAAGUGAAGAUAGAAGGUGGAGAAAGUGCUAAUUUCUAUUGUCAAAGCAGCACGGGAGGUCCUUAUAUGAUUAUAUGACAGCAUGAGUCAUACAAGUCCCUUACUUUCAGUUUCCUCCAGCAAGGAGAAAGAGUGCGAACUUGUUUUAAAAUAAGAAAAUGGCCCUCGACUGUGAUGAUUUUAUUUGAAGAGAGCGGGAAUGAUGAUUUCCAACCACAGAAGCUUUCUUCAAACCAAAAGUCAAGUUAUUGCUCACAUAAAUCUGACUUUGAUGAGUGAAAGAAGCUGGGCAGACAGGUGGGAAAACCAUGAGGCCGUUUUGAAUGAAUAGACACAAUGUCCUUUACUCCCUGUAGACACCUGGCUCGCACACAAAGACACGGUUGUUCCCAUGGUUUGGUUCGACACCACAAAAGACACCUGCAUUAAAUAAAAGUUUGUGUAUAGAGCGUAAAUAUCUAGAUAUGUUGAUUCACAUGUACUUUAAAGACAAUUACUAUAAAUCUGUAGCACCGGGAUCUCGUCAUGUCUCUCUCUCUACGUGAUCGCUCUUCCAAGGGAAACUGCGGUAAGGUGAGCUCAGACGUUGGAAAAGGCGUUAAUAGCGCAUCUAACGCGACUAGAUGUCCCAUGGUGCAGCUUGGCACGCGAGCGGAAGGGGCCAAGCUAAUGGGAGGACCCCGGUGGGAGGGUGGCACGCACCCAGGGCCUCUGGCGGCCAUUUAAUAAAGCAGUGCGGAGAUGUCUGCCUGCUGUGGUUUCUAGGUUUCAGAUGAUUCUAGUUUCAGGUGACAUGCCUCAUGCUCUAUUAGCAGACUCUUCCGACCACAGUUUUCUUUGGCAGCCGCACAGGUUCAGACUGCAGCAGCUCUGAGCAAGACCAGUUUUCCACACGCCACCUUUCUCCUCCUCCAUCAUAUACACAUGUAAAUAAAUGUCUGCACACACACAUGUGUGGGCACCAACACGUACAAAUCUAGAUCUCUAUUUCAUUAAUAUAUACAUCCAGACACAUAAUCAAACAUAAUCAUGCACAGACACUGACAGACAGGCCCCGCCGUCAGUCUCACUUGUAAAUAGAGGUCUGUUGAUGUACAGAGAUAGGAAAGGGAGUCCAGCACACAGACAUCCAUAUAUUUUGUCUGAGCCAAUACUGCAGGUCGGCCUUGACAUGGUAGGAGUGCAGGAUUCAGGCUCCAGUGGUGUUUGUCAAGUACAGAGCUGUGUCCAAACAUCCUGCUCGGGCCUGUGAAGUGGUCGGAUGCUGGUCCCUCUCGCUCGGCCUCUUUUUCAGCACGCUGGCAUGCGUUCUGGGUGGCAUCAGGUCUCUGGCCUCAGUCAAAGACCUGUCUCCCGGACUCCUGCUAAGCUUCAUUCUCCCCUUUCACCUCCCCUGACCAUCCCCUGCAUCUGCAUCUCGGCGGAGUCGUGCAGACUGGGUAAUUCGGUUCUGUCUUUUCCAAAAAGGAUCCUGUGAGAGUUGAAAGUGCUAAAAUAAAGAAAGUGUGUCAUCUUCUGCGGUUUGCAUGUAAAUCUACAGAGAAAUUUGGAAUUGAGUUUUCCUCUCUGUUAGAGUGCUUAAGAGUCUGCAAAGACUUUUGUCUUUUGUCAUCGUGACAAGUGUAUUAUAGCAGCAUAUUGUAAUCACACAAAGGCACUUUUGUACCGUUCAAAUCACAGUUUUUAAAGUUAUUGUUCAGCCGUAUGAAAAACUUCUUCACUGGUGAUGUCUCUGUUAUCAUCUCUGUUGGAUAUGAGGGUCUGACUGAAAGUUGAAAAUUCUUGUGAAUCCUUUAAGUCGUUCUGAAUCUGCGUGAAGACGACUGCCAUGGAAGGUGAAUUCUCUUUGUUUUUUUAAGCCACAAGGACAGAUUUGAUAGGAAGACGCCAUAGACUUUAUAUAGAACGGAUGCCGUCUACCUCCUCGCUGAGUGAAGCCACCCCAAGAACAGCACACUCUGACGACAAGCUGCAGUAUCCAUCCAUCCCUAUGGAGCUGUGGACAAACUUUAGAAAUUUAUUACACAGAAUAUAAUUUUUCUCCCCCCUGCUUGCGAUGUUGACAUGUAGUUAUUGUAAUACUGGUUGUUCAUGUAGAUUCUCAUUCAUCCAGGUCAUGGUUUUUCUCGAAAUCUCCAAAAUCUGGCAACUGGACUGUGUAGAGUUGAAACACCAGCUCCCCCCACUAACACUUUUAGAACUAAAGAAGCUUCUUGGAUAAGCGGCGAAACGUCUUCUCAACUCUACACAGUCCAGUUGCCGGAUUUUGGAGAUUUCAUGUCAGACUGGUUUGAGCUUAAGUCCUCUUUUUUCUGUACAGCUCAAUUUUUAAGUUAUUAGGAGGUUCAUGUUUUCUAUGAUUGACACUUGAUAAAACCUAUGGGCGUACGGAGAUUGUGUGCAAUGCUACUGCGCAAUGUUGGUUUCAGAAAGUGGAGAAAAAUCACAGAAAUACUGCGAGCUUUUCUGCUUUAAAUCCGUUUACUGGCGAAAGGCGGAACCAAGUUGUCCAUCGUAUAUACAGUCUACAGAAGAUGCAUGUAGCAUCUGUGUCAAAACUUCUGUUUGUCUCUUCUGAAGGCGCCAGGUUUUCUCUCUUGUACUAAAAAAAAUGUACACCUUUUCCCCAAACAUCCACACCACAGUUGAUUUCUUUCAGUAUGACCUGUCAGUCACUCAUGUAGGCAUUCAUAAUGGAUUCUGGCAUGCUUUACGUUGAAGCCGUUUAUCUUAAAAGCUGACGAGAAAGACAUCAGGGAAGAUUUUUUUUUAUGUAAAGAGAGAUCAUUUGAACAACGAUGAGGGGAUUCAUGAAUCACAGCACUGAUGUGUGUCUGUUUAUGUCUGCCUGCUGUAUGUUUGCUGUGUAAUCCGCAUGGAAUCGAGAUUUUCAACAGAGGAUAUUUUCAUCCAGGAUGAUCUGAUUUUAAUGAAAGCUUCUGUCAGUCACAGGGCUAACCGGUGUAAUUUGUUGUAUAUACUGUGGCAUGAGGGAAAAUUGCAAGCAAACAGGCCUGUAAUGUUCAGGUGAGACCAGUCGUUUUGGAAACAGACACAUAUAUAUAUAAACUAACAGCAUGAAAAAGUGUAUGUCUAGAGUGAGAGUCGUUCUUGAUCCUUUUCUUCAGACGCGUACUUCUUAUUUAGAGUGAUUUAACAUCUCUUUCACACACAGUUUAGUUCCAGCUACACAUGUUUAGCGCAAAAGUAUACCUUACUAUGCAAUUCAAACAAAGUGUCACCAGCCACAUCACAAAAAGUCUAAUAUUUGCUCACAAAAUCAGCUCACCACUUCAACUAUAGCCAGGCGUUUCUCCUUUGAACGCGGCCUGUGUGACAGCUCAGCUGACCAGACAGGAGCCGGACCAGCUGGCUCACGUGACCGUCGUUGACCGUGUUAUUUACAUUGGGCUCAUGGCGAGCUGUUUGCUGAGAGGGAUAAUUUGACAGUCACAUAAACAGACAGACAGACAGACAGACGGAUAAACAGAGUGUUGGCUACUGACAGAGAUCUCACUGUCAGUCUCACUGCCACUCUGUUCCCUCUCUCAAGCCCAACAGCCAUGGGGCAAUAUUUGAGCAGACAGUCACCAAGUCUUCCAAAUAUUGAACAACAUGCACUAGCAGUUUUUUUUCCAAGUGAUUUUUGGACUCGCUGUAUCUGUUUUCUUCUUUUUCUUCUUAUGCUGCAGCGUUGGCAGGAAAUGCUCGGCUUGAACGAGUGUCUCUUCAUUUAAUUUAUUUUCCCCUCUUCUCUCUUUUUCUAGAUUUAUGUCUCCAUACUGUGAAGAGUUUGUCAGGUUGAACUUGAUAUUUCAUUUAUAGUCAUAUUUAAUGUUUAUUACCUCUGUCACUGUGUCACAACAAGCAGACUGGACGUGCUUUUAGCAGAAGAAGGGGUGAAGGUUGAUCAUCAGAAAAUACAACCAAAGCACACGGGGCAGGAUCAGCAAAGGUAAUAGACUCACUACUGGGUCAAGGGAGUCACGUAAACUGACUAAGCACACGUUUUUUUUAAAAGUUGCUUUAAUGCUUUGGUGCAAUUGGAGUAUUUGUGUCAUAGUUAUCUCUUUGACUUAUCUUUUUUUCUGUUUUAAUUGAGGUAUGGUUUAAUUUAUUGACAGAAGCUGUUAAAGGUUUACUAGCAAUAAAAAAGGGGCAACAUUUUUGCAUGUUUUGGUAACACUUUACUUGACGCCUAUCUCCAUAACGCAUUAUAAAUAUAUGUAUAAUGCAUUGUAAUCAUGUUAUAGCACUGUAUAACUAUAGUUAUAAACACUCAUAAAUGAUCAUAAUGCUUUAUAUGUCCAGACAUUAUAAAGCAUUUUAUCAUGACUUAAAGGGUUGGGUAUUAUAAUGUGUUAUAACUGUUAAAAACUCACUGACAAUGCCCACAUAGAUAAUGCAUUAUACAUAUAUUUAUAAUGUGUUAUAAUUUGCUUAUAAACUUGUAUAACGAUCAUUAUAAACACUAAUUAAUUAUCAUAAGGCUUUAUAACAAUAAACAUAACACAUUAUAAUACCUGACUGAUUAUUGCUAUAAAGCAUUAUGAUCAUUAACGAGUGUUUAUAACUAUAGUUAUGCAGUGCUAUAAUGUGAUUAUAACGCAUUAUACAUAUAUUUAUUACGGUUAUAGAGAUAGGCGUCAAGUAAAGUGUCAUCCACCUUGAUAUACUUAACUUUAAGUCUGUUGUUUUUCCAAGUAAAUUCUAUUAAAGCUAUCGCCACUCUGAUACAUGUCUUACAGCAUUCCUAGUGUCUGCUUUGUGUAGGCGUGACAGUUUUUGUGUUAUCAGAUGGUGUAAGUGCUUGUCUUUUUGUCUGUAUGUGUGUGGAAAUGAGCGCUUAUUGUGUGUCCUCGUAUGUGUGCACUUACAUGUGUGUUCCACGCCUGCUGCAUACUCUGACGUUGUCACACCUCUCUUGGUGUCCUGCUGUGUUUCCCGCGGCGUCCUGAGGUCCUGGAUGCUGUCUCAGUAUCGCUGCUGAGGAUGGUGGGCGUCUGGCACAGAUAACACUCUGAUAGCUCCAUGAUGGACAGCCGGGAAACUUUUUUCCUUCGCUCUCCUUCCUCCCUCCUCCUCCCCACUGAACGAUAUGACAACCUGCUGUAAAUGCAGCUCAGAGGUAUAUGUGUGUCUGCAUGUGUGGAUGCAUUUGUGCAUUUGAUUGGAUGGGGGUUGGGCAUAUGAAAGCUAUGUUAUGAAUCAUAAUCUUUGUCUUGAUAAAUCCUGGAAGAAAAAAGAAGAAAAAAGUCUCCCUGAAACUCAGAGCAGCAGGAAAAAGAAAAACAACCAGAAAACAAGGAAAGUUAAUAAGAAAUGUGAAUUAAUUUCCCUUUUUAUUCCUCUUUCUUUUCCCUUUGUAUUAACAGUUUUCAUCUCCUCUCAAUUAAAUAACAACCCCUUAUGCUGCCUCCUAAGUUGCUCCUUAGUUUCCACUGGCUGUUUGGUUAUUCACAAAUGUCAUUGGCAUUCUUUUAUCCUCUCCUUAUGGUGGCCUGUGGGGGAAAGGCUAAUAUCUUGUGUGUCAAUUCACAGCAUGAAACUUUUAGAUCUAUAUAAGGUUACUCAUUGCAGAACUUAUUUUCUAAGAGAGAAAAGAAAUCCAUUAUUUAUGAACAUAUUCCCAGUCCAUGGCUAAUUGUUUAUUUUCUUCACAAUUGCUUUGAUGUAACCAGCAAGACACUUACAGAAGUCUGUCGAAAAGCUGAAUAUUUUCCAUUACACCCCUUUAAUAUAUAAUUAUUAGUGUCAUUGCACUAAAGUUUAUUUUGGUUCAGAGUUUCCCACAUUUAGAAUUGAGUAAAUAUUUUAGAUUUUGUCAUGUCCAGCUCCAACAUGUGCCAGCGUGACUUCUUAUGACGCAUUUUUACGUUUUCUUUUGUCUCCUUUUUAACUGCAGCCAUUCACUUCCUUUGGUUGUGCUUGUGAAACUCUCGCUCAGUAAGAUAAACUGCUGUUUAAGUAAGCUGGGCACAAGAUGCCGUGUUCUUCUCAGGGUUUUCUGUAAUUAAACAUGCUGCGCAUUCCUCAGUUAACGUUACAUCUCAAGCUGCCCGAUCAGCACUCCACAGUAUUUAGAGAAGUAAAGAGCAGGAGACGCCCAAGCCGCAGCAGAUAUCAAACAGUCUCAAAAUCGGUUUAAAGUACAACAGUGAAACUGGAACCUAUGAUUAAAUUAGGGAAACAUAAAACAUGAAAGAUGGAUGGAUGUAUACACACCCUGACAGGGCAAAACCUCUUUACAAUAUACCCAGAGUUAGUGAAAGUCGAGUCAUCUUGGUGUGGUUGUUCUGCGGUUUGUUGUAGUUUUAAAUCACUCUACGCAGCCAUUGGGGUAAUUAUAUAUCACCUGGUUGUCUGUUUACUUAGUCUACUGCUUUAUAACACUAAAUCUAGGGUAUACCUCAAAUUUUGAUGGAAGUGAAUGGAAAUGCUCGCCAUGUUGAAUUAACUCAUAAAACCUUGAUUUGAAUUUUAUGAUGAAACUUAUUUGCAACAUCUUUGGUUUGACUUUCCUCAAUUUUUUUUUUUAUUUCUAUAUGUUCAUGUGUGAUUUUUAUGAUAUGUAUAAACUGCACAGCCAAACAACACUGCUUAUAUUUAAGAGGGCUAGUCAAGGAUAGCUGGUGAAACAAAAGGUGCUGAUCUGGGUUUUCCAUGCAGCUAAUGGAUAUAAUCCAAAGAGAAUAACAAUUUAUCACUAUUGGCUCAAAAAGUAAGUAUGCAAAGCCUCUGUGACUUCACUCACUGGUUUCUAAAGGAGUGUUUUGAAGCCCAGUGUUAGAGGCUGCCCUAUUGAAAAUACUUAACUUGGUGGUAGUGAGGCAAUCUCAAGGAUAGAGUGGCCAUACGUCCGGAUUUAGUUCGGUCAGUCUGGAAUUAAAAUGCCCAGUGCAGCCUAAAGCUGGACAGUUAUUUGUCUUUUUGGAGCUUCACCUGAACGCAAUUCUGUAUGUCGUCCAAUGGUGUAAGACUUUGGGUUAAAAAAUAAAGAUUGGUUAAAAAUGAUUGCCUAAAAGCAUUGUCACUCAAUUCUCUGAUUUCUCAUUGGUUGAUAAAUGUAAACAAGCCGCCCCCUGUUCCUAUGUGCUAGCUGUGUCUUUCAUAUAGGUAACUGCUGAAAAGACAGACCUCAUUCAAUGCAAAGAUGAUUUGCAUGCAUAUUGCACACUUCGUCGCUGUGAUGUGGACGUUAUCACACAAGGAAAGGCGGCCAUUGAAAGGCAUGCUAGUUUGUUAGUUUAAAUGUGCUAAUUUGCAGAUUUAAGGUCAUAAAUGUUCUGCUUUGUGGCACUGCACUUUGCAAGACAGAUGUAUUGAAUAAAUAUGAAUACUGUGAACAACAAGUUGUAUGUUGUGAUUUUUCUUUCCUCUCUAAAUGCCGCAAAAUGUCCUCCUUUUUAGUGUUGUGGAAAUUACCACCCUACUCCAGGCUAGGAGCUAAAACUCGCCACUUGUUCUCGGCUGUGCCCUUAAUAGUCUUCUUAGAGGAUGAGCUAUAAAACAGUCACCCUAUACGUCAUGUACAAGUGAAGGAAUGAGCUUCCGUGACCAAAACUGGUCUUUGGACCAUGCUGCUGGGAACUGCAGCGUUUGGCAUUUCCAGGUUUACUUCAGUUUUUGUUGUUGUUGUUGACUUGCAGGUUGCUGUUCCUUAAACAGAAGUCUCUUUACGUAAUGUCUUCUGCCUUUUUUUUUAAUAAAUAUGCUGUAUUUUUUCAUUGUUGUGAAAGUAAAUGGUAACCUUGCUGCGUUUAGUGAGGAUAAAAACAUAAAACUGUUUUCAAAAGUCUGUUUGUGGCGCAGUUAAGUUUAACU
This 9656-nucleotide long non-coding RNA is filed under the name Xyrichtys novacula (pearly razorfish). Lineage: Eukaryota; Metazoa; Chordata; Actinopteri; Labriformes; Labridae. The record is from RNAcentral.